RNAcentral lists this long non-coding RNA (2994 nucleotides) under Selaginella moellendorffii. Its description in RNAcentral is "long non-coding RNA (SMOE_LNC000746)". The record is from RNAcentral. Lineage: Eukaryota; Viridiplantae; Streptophyta; Lycopodiopsida; Selaginellales; Selaginellaceae.
ACGCUACGCCACAUCACUCCAUUCCUCCAUCUCUCCAGAGCUCUGGCCUCGCGAGGCUUCGUCAUAACUUUCAUCAACACGGAGGGCAACCACAGGGACCUGAAGGACAUCGUUUCACAGGAGGAGAGCUUUGGCUAUGGCGGCGGCAUUCGCUUCGAGACGGUCCCGGGCAUCCAAGCGAGCGACGUCGACUUCGCGGUCCCGGAGAAGCGGGGGAUGUUCUCCGAGGCAGUGAUGGAGAUGCAGGCUCCAGUGGAAAGCUUGCUCAUCAGGAACAUGGCCAGAGACGAUGAUCUCGUUCCUCCGGUCUCGUGCUUCAUCUCGGAUAUGUUCCCGUGGUCCGCGGAAGUAGCAAGAAGGACUGGAAUCCCAGAGGUCAAGUUCUGGAUCGCCAGUGCCUCUUGCGUUUUGCUCGAUUGCUCGUUUCCGCGAAUGCUGGAGAAGGGAGACGUUCCAGUCCAAGGUAAAGCUUCUUUCUUCUUUUUUAUUUGUCCUUCUUUCGAGAAGCACUAACGUGUUCCGCCAGAUCGUUCCAUUGAAAAGUACAUCACUUACGUAGACGGCUUGUCACCACUGCCAAUCUGGGGCCUCCCGCGCGACCUUUCUGCCAUUGACGAAUCAAGAUUCGCUGGCAGAUACGCUAGAGCCAAGAGCUUCGCCACAACGUCGUGGGUUUUGGUCAACUCGUUCGAAGAACUCGAGGGCAGUGCCACCUUCCAAGCCCUCCGAGACAUCUCUCCCAAAGCAAUCGCUGUGGGUCCUCUUUUCACCAUGGCCCCCGGCUGCAACAAGGCAAGCUUGUGGAAGGAAGACACCGAGAGUUUAUCCUGGCUCGGCAAGCAAAGUCCCGGCUCGGUUCUCUACAUUUCCUUGGGCACCAUCGCGACUCUCAGCUUCGAUCAGUUCAAGGAGUUCUCCGAGGGACUGAGGCUUCUCCAGCGUCCGUUUAUCUGGGCCAUCCGACCCAAGUCGGUCGCCGGCAUGGAGCCCGAGUUCCUGGAGCGUUUCAAGGAGGCCGUGAGGAGCUUUGGACUGGUUGUGAGCCGGGCUCCUCAGGUGGACAUCCUCCGCCACCCUUCCACGGCUGGAUUUCUCAGUCACUGCGGCUGGAACUCCAUCCUCGAGAGCGUAGCAUCCGCGGUGCCCAUGCUUUGCUGGCCGUGCGUCGCGGAGCAGAAUCUAAACUGCAAGUUGAUAGUGGAGGACUGGAAGAUCGGUCUCAAGUUCUCGUGCGUGACCAUGCCGGAUCCUCCCGAGGUGAUGGCGAGGGACGAGUUUGUGGAGGUGGUGGAGCGAUUCAUGGGAACUGACAGUGAGCAUUUGAGGAUUAACGUGAAGAAGCUGAGCGAGGAGGCUCGUAGAGCAGUGUCUAGUGGUGGCUCCUCAUAUGAAAACCUGGAGAGAUUUGCUCAAGCAGUGAAAAUUUCCUAAACUUCAAUCCAAAGCUAAGAGAAAACUUCAAAGCAUCUACUCUAUUCAAGAAUAUACUACAGUUCUUUCUCUCUUUCUCUGAAGAUAAGCACGCGCUUUGCGCGUAUAAUGGGUUCCAAGGUCAAUGUUGUCGCAAUUCCUCUCCCAGCUCAAGGCCACAUCUCUCCACUCUUGCAUCUCUGCCAAGCUCUCACUUUCAUCCUUUGGGGGAUGCUAUCUCCAAAACACACAACCAUGAGGGAAUGUGCUGGACUUUGUCACGUGCAAGAACCCAUGGCCAAUGUGCUAGUGUAGACUCCAAGGUGAUGCCUUAUGUCAGAAACUGAUGCAAAAAGAAGAAACUAAAGAAAAACAAAAAAAAUAAUAAUAAGAAGAAAGAGAGUGUAAAGUUCUGGAGUCAAAAGGGAACCAUAUGAGGAAAUUUGAUAAAAGAACUAAACACUAAAAAAUGGAAAAACAAAAAGUGAAAAAAACUAAAGAGCAAGGAACAGCUUAAAGAAGAGCUCUAGAGGCCAGUUAUAAUGGCCAUUUGUCUCAAGUUGGUCCCUGGCAUAGAGCCUGAGUUCCUGGAGGCUUUCAAGGCUCUCCUUGAAAGUGAUCAGCUUUGGACUGGUUGUGAGCUGGGCUCCUCAACCGGAAAUCCUCCAGCAUCCUUCCACAGGCUGCGAGAGUGUAUCUUCAGCAGUGCCAAUCCUUUGCUGGUCAUGAGUUGCCGAGCAGAAUCUCAACUGCAAGCUUAUAGUGGAAAACUGGAAGAUCGAUCUUAAGUUCUCACCCAUGAGAGAUCCUUGCAAGGUGGUGGCAGGGACGAGUUUGUGGAGGUGGUGGAGCAGCUCAUGGGAGCUGAGAAUGGCGAUUCCUUUAGAUGUAAUGUGAAGGAGCUCAGCGAGGCUGCUCAGGGAGCAACAGUGAAAGAAGGCAGGAUCUUCAUAUGAAAGUUUGGACAAGUUCGUCAAGUUUCAUAAGGUAAUUUAUAUCCAAUGCCGCAGCUGGUGGCAGGACGAUCAUCGGGUAUGAGGGCGGGGCCAAUGCACAGACAGACCAACCACCAAGAGCACAUAAAGAUGAUACUUGAAAGUGUAUAGGUUGGUGGAAGUGUUAUUUUCCUUCCCAAAGAAAUAGAUGGCAUAAUCAAGAGGACUAAAAAAUUCCUGAAGGAGAACACUAGAAUAAAACCUUUGCAAAACGCACUGAUUCUUAAGCUCAGCCUUGGAGCCAGAAAGAAACGGCAGCACCUUCAUGAAGUAAGCUUGAAUUUCCUUUGUUCUUCGUCAAUGGGUUCUUCUACUGGUGCCGAGGGGCUCGCUCCUCACGCAGCGGUUCUUCCCAUUCCAACUCUAGGCCACAUCACUCCAUUCCUCCAUCUCUCUAGAGCUCUGGCCUCGCGAGGCUUCGUCAUAACUUUUAUCAACACGGAGGGCAACCACAGGGACUUGAAGGACAUCGUUUCACAGGAGGAGAGCUUUGGCUCUGGUGGCAGCAUUCGUUUCGAGACGGUCCCCGGGGUCCAAACGAGCGAGGCCGACUUCACGGCCCCGGAGACGCGGCCAAUGUUCUUCGAGG